AGCAGCCGCGGUAAUUCCAGCUCCAAUAGCGUAUAUUAAAGUUGUUGCAGUUAAAAAGCUCGUAGUUGAAUUUCGGGGUUAGUAGGUUGGUCAUGCCUCUGGUAUGUACUGGUCUCACUGAUUCCUCCUUCCUGAUGAGCCGUAAUGCCAUUAAUUUGGUGUUGCGGGGAAUUUGGACUGUUACUUUGAAAAAAUUGAGUGUUUAAAGCAAGCUAACGCUCGAAUACAUUAGCAUGGAAUAAUGAAAUAGGACGUUCGAUCCUAUUUUGUUGGUUUCUAGGAUUGACGUAAUGAUUAAUAGGGAUAGUUGGGGGCAUUAGUAUUCAAUUGUCAGAGGUGAAAUUCUUGGAUUUAUUGAAGACUAACUACUGCGAAAAGCAUUUGCCAAGGAUGUUUUCAUUAAUCAAGAACGAAAGUUAGGGAUCGAAGACGAUCAGAUACCGUCGUAGUCUUAACCAUAAACUAUGCCGACUAGGGAUCGGAUGAUGUUAUUUUUAAUGACUCAUUCGGNGUACCG
Molecule: ribosomal RNA, 517 nt
Filed under: uncultured Glomus
Lineage: Eukaryota; Fungi; Glomeromycota; Glomeromycetes; Glomerales; Glomeraceae
Description: SSU rRNA
Rfam family: Eukaryotic small subunit ribosomal RNA
Source: RNAcentral